AAAAAUUAAAGCUUUUUUGAUGUGGUGAAGUUUUCCCUCAGUCAUCUCGAGGGUCUGAGGUCGAUGAUGUCGUUCACUGAGCAGAGGCCUUAUUUCAUCAUGAUCAAUAAAUAGUUUUGUGCUGGACUCACUGCAGUGGAUCCAGAUCACCUGUGCAGGUGAUGCAGACUGACUGCUGAUGGAGGGCGGUUCCCUCUCAGCCAAUCACGGUGUGGCGACGCCCUUUUUGUGACGGCUUAAAGGAGCAUUGUACUGCCAGCACCACCACAACAGAACCAGAACCACCUGCCUGUGGAUGAACACUUUCUUCUCAGGAGGUGGUGGAGACCAAAACCAGAG
Molecule: long non-coding RNA, 339 nt
Organism: Acanthopagrus latus (yellowfin seabream)
Lineage: Eukaryota; Metazoa; Chordata; Actinopteri; Spariformes; Sparidae
Exons: 3
Source: RefSeq, a predicted model, not a curated record